RNAcentral lists this ribosomal RNA (447 nucleotides) under uncultured bacterium. RNAcentral's name for it is "partial 16S ribosomal RNA". It matches the Rfam family "Bacterial small subunit ribosomal RNA", at positions 29 to 523 of the family's 1533-position model. The record is from RNAcentral.
AACGAACGCUGGCGGCAGGCUUAACACAUGCAAGUCGAACGCCCCGCAAGGGGAGUGGCAGACGGGUGAGUAACGCGUGGGAAUCUACCCAAUUCUACGGAAUAACCCAGGGAAACUUGGACUAAUACCGUAUACGCCCUACGGGGGAAAGAUUUAUCGGAAUUGGAUGAGCCCGCGUAAGAUUAGCUAGUUGGUGGGGUAAUGGCCUACCAAGGCGACGAUCUUUAGCUGGUCUGAGAGGAUGAUCAGCCACACUGGGACUGAGACACGGCCCAGACUCCUACGGGAGGCAGCAGUGGGGAAUAUUGGACAAUGGGCGCAAGCCUGAUCCAGCCAUGCCGCGUGAGUGAUGAAGGCCUUAGGGUUGUAAAGCUCUUUCAGUGGGGAAGAUAAUGACGGUACCCACAGAAGAAGCCCCGGCUAACUUCGUGCCAGCCGCCGCAGUAA